Schistocerca cancellata (South American locust) is the source of this 500-nucleotide long non-coding RNA. RefSeq lists it as uncharacterized. The transcript is spliced from 2 exons. Lineage: Eukaryota; Metazoa; Arthropoda; Insecta; Orthoptera; Acrididae. The record is from RefSeq and is a predicted model, not a curated record.
UUCUUUGUAUUAUAUGUAAGUUUUGUUAAACUAAAUGUUCUAUUUUGCAGUAAUUUGAUUUAAUUAUCAAGUUAUUUUGGAUUUAGCAAUUGAUUUAGUAUCGGCAUAAUUCGUGCCAGCAGCCGCGGUUAUACGAUUGAUACAAGUGAAUAUUAUUGGUUAAAACAGUUGUUUAUAUAUUUUGGGUUAAAAUAUAAAUUUGUAAGGUGAAAUGUUAAAAUUUAUUUAUAGCUCUUUUUAUGAAUCUGUGAAAUUUAAAUAAUAAACUAGGAUUAGAUACCCUAUUAUUUUAAAUGUUAAUUAUAUUUACCAGGGUACUAUUAGUUAAGGUCUUUAAACCCAAAGAAUUUGGCGGUAUCUCAUUCCAUUCAGAGGAACCUACCCAGUGAUUGAUAAUACACGAUUUACUCUACUUUAUUGUUUUAAUUUAGCUUCAAUUUAGAUGAGAUAAGUCGUAACAUAGUAGAUGUACUGGAAAGUGUAUCUAGUAAGAGUUUCAA